AUUAAAUAUUAGCAAAGUAUAGGAAACUGUAUGACGCAAAGCUAGAGGGCCUGUAAGAUGGCAGCCAGUUGCACUU
Molecule: non-coding RNA, 76 nt
Filed under: Cetobacterium somerae
Lineage: Bacteria; Fusobacteriati; Fusobacteriota; Fusobacteriia; Fusobacteriales; Fusobacteriaceae
Also listed under: 1 other name
Description: c-di-GMP sequence
Rfam family: c-di-GMP-I riboswitch aptamer
About the family: GEMM was predicted in a large-scale screen for bacterial structured RNA regulatory elements.
Source: RNAcentral